AUUGAACGCUGGCGGCAUGCCUUACACAUGCAAGUCGAACGGCAGCACGGGAGCAAUCCUGGUGGCGAGUGGCGAACGGGUGAGUAAUAUAUCGGAACGUGCCCGGUCGUGGGGGAUAACGUAGCGAAAGCUACGCUAAUACCGCAUACGAUCUACGGAUGAAAGCGGGGGAUCGCAAGACCUCGCGCGAUUGGAGCGGCCGAUAUCAGAUUAGGUAGUUGGUGAGGUAAAGGCUCACCAAGCCGACGAUCUGUAGCUGGUCUGAGAGGACGACCAGCCACACUGGGACUGAGACACGGCCCAGACUCCUACGGGAGGCAGCAGUGGGGGAAUUUUGGACAAUGGGCGCAAGCCUGAUCCAGCAAUGCCGCGUGCAGGAUGAAGGCCUUCGGGUUGU
Molecule: ribosomal RNA, 397 nt
Filed under: uncultured bacterium
Lineage: Bacteria
Description: bacterial SSU rRNA
Rfam family: Bacterial small subunit ribosomal RNA
Source: RNAcentral